RNAcentral lists this transfer RNA (82 nucleotides) under Candelaria pacifica. RNAcentral describes it as "tRNA-Leu". It matches the Rfam family "tRNA". Rfam says of the family: Transfer RNA (tRNA) molecules are approximately 80 nucleotides in length. Their secondary structure includes four short double-helical elements and three loops (D, anti-codon, and T loops). Lineage: Eukaryota; Fungi; Ascomycota; Candelariomycetes; Candelariales; Candelariaceae. The record is from RNAcentral. RNAcentral also lists the same sequence under 1 other name.
GCGGAUGUAGUGAAAUUGGUAUACACAGUAGGUUUAGGCCCUAUGGCUUCGAGCCGUGCGGGUUCAAGUCCCGCUUUCCGUA